UGUGUCAGGGGAGAAGCUCCAGGUGGUAUCUGAUGCUACUGAGCCAGAUGUCUGUGUGUCAGGGAGAAGCUCCAGGUGGUAUCUGAUGCUACUGAGCCAGAUGUCUAUGUGUCAGGGGAGAAGCUCCAGGUGGUAUCUGAUGCUACUGAGCCAGAUGUCUAUGUGUCAGGGGAGAAGCUCCAGGUGGUAUCAGAUGCUACUGAGCCAGAUGUCUAUGUGUCAGGGGAGAAGCUCCAGGUGGUAUCUGAUGCUACUGAGCCAGAUGUCUAUGUGUCAGGGG
Long non-coding RNA from Oncorhynchus tshawytscha (Chinook salmon), 280 nucleotides. The record is from Ensembl. Lineage: Eukaryota; Metazoa; Chordata; Actinopteri; Salmoniformes; Salmonidae.